UUCCGGUUGAUCCUGCCGGAAGCCACUGCUAUCGGGGUCCGACUAAGCCAUGCGAGUCAAGGGGGUGUCCCUCUGGGACACCACCGGCGGACGGCUCAGUAACACGUCGGUAACCUACCCUCGGGAGGGGGAUAACCCCGGGAAACUGGGGCUAAUCCCCCAUAGGCCUGAGGUACUGGAAGGUCCUCAGGCCGAAAGGGGCUUUUGCCCGCCCGAGGAUGGGCCGGCGGCCGAUUAGGUAGUUGGUGGGGUAACGGCCCACCAAGCCGAAGAUCGGUACGGGCUGUGAGAGCAGGAGCCCGGAGAUGGACACUGAGACACGGGUCCAGGCCCUACGGGGCGCAGCAGGCGCGAAACCUCCGCAAUGCGGGAAACCGCGACGGGGGGACCCCGAGUGCCGUGGCACCGCCACGGCUUUUCCGGAGUGUAAAAAGCUCCGGGAAUAAGGGCUGGGCAAGGCCGGUGGCAGCCGCCGCGGUAAUACCGGCGGCCCGAGUGGUGGCCGCUAUUAUUGGGCCUAAAGCGUCCGUAGCCGGGCCCGUAAGUCCCUGGCGAAAUCCCACGGCUCAACCGUGGGGCUUGCUGGGGAUACUGCGGGCCUUGGGACCGGGAGAGGCGGGGGGUACCCCUGGGGUAGGGGUGAAAUCCUAUAAUCCCAGGGGGACCGCCAGUGGCGAAGGCGCCCCGCUGGAACGGGUCCGACGGUGAGGGACGAAAGCCAGGGGAGCAAACCGGAUUAGAUUCCCGGGUAGU
This 753-nucleotide ribosomal RNA is filed under the name uncultured archaeon. Its description in RNAcentral is "bacterial SSU rRNA". It matches the Rfam family "Archaeal small subunit ribosomal RNA", at positions 1 to 745 of the family's 1478-position model. The record is from RNAcentral.